GAUGAACGCUGGCGGCGUGCCUAAUACAUGCAAGUCGAGCGAACGGAUGAGAAGCUUGCUUCUCUGAUGUUAGCGGCGGACGGGUGAGUAACACGUGGAUAACCUACCUAUAAGACUGGGAUAACUUCGGGAAACCGGAGCUAAUACCGGAUAAUAUUUUGAACCGCACGGUUCAAAAGUGAAAGACGGUCUUGCUGUCACUUAUAGAUGGAUCCGCGCUGCAUUAGCUAGUUGGUAAGGUAACGGCUUACCAAGGCAACGAUGCAUAGCCGACCUGAGAGGGUGAUCGGCCACACUGGAACUGAGACACGGUCCAGACUCCUACGGGAGGCAGCAGUAGGGAAUCUUCCGCAAUGGGCGAAAGCCUGACGGAGCAACGCCGCGUGAGUGAUGAAGGUCUUCGGAUCGUAAAACUCUGUUAUUAGGGAAGAACAUAUGUGUAAGUAACUGUGCACAUCUUGACGGUACCUAAUCAGAAAGCCACGGCUAACUACGUG
Molecule: ribosomal RNA, 497 nt
Filed under: uncultured bacterium
Lineage: Bacteria
Description: partial 16S ribosomal RNA
Rfam family: Bacterial small subunit ribosomal RNA
Source: RNAcentral